RNAcentral lists this ribosomal RNA (904 nucleotides) under uncultured archaeon. Its description in RNAcentral is "bacterial SSU rRNA". It matches the Rfam family "Archaeal small subunit ribosomal RNA", at positions 21 to 903 of the family's 1478-position model. The record is from RNAcentral.
CCCUACUGCUAUCGGGGUGGGACUAAGACAUGCUAGUCGAGCGCCUUGAGCUAUGGCGAGGCGCGGCGUACAGCUCAGUAACACGUGGCUAACCUACCCUUAGGACGGAGACAACCCCGGGAAACUGGGGCUAAUAUCUGAUAGGUGAGGAGGCCUGGAAUGGUUCUUCGCUGAAAAGGCGUUGAAACCAUGCUUUUCAGCGUCGCCUAAGGAUGGGGCCGCGUCCGAUCAGGUUGUUGGUGGGGUAACGGCUCACCAAGCCUAUAACCGGUACGGGCCGUGAGAGCGGGAGCCCGGAGAUGGGCACUGAGACAAGGGCCCAGGCCCUACGGGGCGCAGCAGUCGCGAAAACUCCGCAAUGCGCGAAAGCGUGACGGGGCUACCCCGAGUGCCGUCCGCUGAGGAUGGCUUUUCCCCGGUGUAAUGAGCCGGGGGAAUAAGGAGAGGGCAAGUCUGGUGUCAGCCGCCGCGGUAAUACCAGCUCUCCGAGUGGUAGGGACGAUUAUUGGGCUUAAAGCGUCCGUAGCCGGCUUAGCAAGUCUUCUGUUAAAUUCAGCGACCUAAUCGUUGAGCCGCGGGAGAUACUACUAGGCUAGGAGGCGGGAGAGGCCGACGGUAUUCUCGGGGUAGGGGUGAAAUCCUAUAAUCCCGGGAGGACCACCAGUGGCGAAGGCUGUCGGCUAGAACGCGCUCGACGGUGAGGGAUGAAAGCUGGGGGAGCGAACCGGAUUAGAUACCCGGGUAGUCCCAGCUGUAAACGAUGCAGGCUAGGUGUUGGCGCGGCUACGUGCCGCUCCAGUGCCGCAGGGAAGCCGUUAAGCCUGCCGCCUGGGAAGUACGGCCGCAAGGCUGAAACUUAAAGGAAUUGGCGGGGGAGCACCACAAGGUGUGAAGCUUGCGGUUU